Molecule: long non-coding RNA, 654 nt
Organism: Daphnia pulicaria
Lineage: Eukaryota; Metazoa; Arthropoda; Branchiopoda; Diplostraca; Daphniidae
Exons: 4
Source: RefSeq, a predicted model, not a curated record
AACUAAAUGUUCUCAUGCAUAUUUACCAGUCCAUUUGUCAUCAUUUGCCACGUAAUGACGCCCAUUGUUGAAGCAAGCCACUUAGCCAGGAAUUCUAAGCUGUCAUCAAUCCUACAGCUGUACUGUAGUAUGCCUGUAGUAGAAAUGGAAUCACAAAUUUCAAUAUCACAGAAAUCUUACUAAUUUUCUUAUCUUGUCUUCCAGAUGCAUGUUUUGUAGAUGGUGAAUCUCAAGUGAAACUAAGAACUUUCAGUCGUCAUUACAUAUAAUUGACUAUCGUUUCCAAUUUUGAUAAUGUUCUCGCCUGAGCUCUCUUCCUUUCUGUAACCCUAUCUUAUCUAUGGGUUAAAAUUGAUACAUUUAGUUUAAUCUUUCAACGUUGUGCCAUAGACCUUGUCCACUGGUGGAAUAGGAUUAUUAUGGCGAGAUAUGUUGAACUUGUUCCAGGUUAAUCUUUCGCCAUUUUGAAACGAUGUGAAGCACUUGAAAUGAAAGAUUAACAGAAGGCGUUAGUUUAUUUUUGCAAAAAUUGUGUCAGACGACUAAAUCAAUUUUUAAUUCAACAAUCUCAUGCAUCUACAAGUUUACUGAUGCAUAUCGUGAUUCUUAAUCAUUAGGCACAUUUUGGCGAGAAUAAACGUAAUUUAAAUAAUU